Long non-coding RNA from Oncorhynchus keta (chum salmon), 3584 nucleotides. RefSeq lists it as uncharacterized. Lineage: Eukaryota; Metazoa; Chordata; Actinopteri; Salmoniformes; Salmonidae. The transcript is spliced from 4 exons. The record is from RefSeq and is a predicted model, not a curated record.
UUUGGCCCACUCCUCCAUAUAGACCUUGUCCAGAUCAUUCAGGUUUCAGGGCUGUCGCUGGGCAAUACGGACUUUCAGCUCCCUCCAAAGAUUUUCUAUUGGGUUCAGGUCUGGAGACUGGCUAGGCCACUCCAGGACCUUGAGAUGCUUCUUACGGAGCCACUCCUUAGUUGCCCUGGCUGUGUGUUUCGGGUCAUUGUCAUGCUGGAAGACCCAGCCACGACCUAUCUUCAAUGCUCUUACUGAGGGAAGGAGGUUGUUGGCCAAGAUCUCGUGAUACAUGGCCCCAUCCAUCCUCCCCUCAAUAUGGUGCAGUCGUUCUGUCCCCUUUGCAGAAAAGCAUCCCCAAAGAAUGAUGUUUCCACCUCCAUGCUUCACAGUUGGGAUGGUGUUCUUGGGGUUGUACUCAUCCUUCUUCUUCCUCCAAACAUGGCGAGUGGAGUUUAGACCAAAAAGCUCUAUUUUUGUCUCAUCAGACCACAUGACCUUCUCCCAUUCCUCCUCUGGAUCAUCCAGAUGGUCAUUGGCAAACUUCAGACGGGCCUGGACAUGCGCUGGCUUGAGCAGGGGGACCGUGCGUGCGCUGCAGGACUUUAACCCAUGACUGCGUGGUGAAUGGUUUUCUUUGAGACGGUGGUCCCAGCUCUCUUCAGGUCAUUGACCAGGUCCUGCCGUGUAGUUCUGGGCUGAUCCCUCACCUUCCUCCUUAUCUUGAGAUCUUUGUACUAGUCCAGUUAGAAUCAAAGGAGGUGGUCAGUCCUGUUAGAAUCAAAGGAGGUGGUCAGUCCUGUUAGAAUCAGAGCAGGUGGUCAGUCCAGUUAGAAUCAAAGGAGGAGGUCAGUCCUGUUAGAAUCAGAGCAGGUGGUCAGUCCUGUUAGAAUCAAAGGAGGAGGUCAGUCCUGUUAGAAUCAGAGCAGGUGGUCAGUCCUGUUAGAAUCAAAGGAGGAGGUCAGUCCUGUUAGAAUCAAAGGAGGUGGUCAGUCCUGUUAGAAUCAGAGCAGGUGGUCAGUCCAGUUAGAAUCAAAGGAGGAGGUCAGUCCUGUUAGAAUCAGAGCAGGUGGUCAGUCCUGUUAGAAUCAAAGGAGGAGGUCAGUCCUGUUAGAAUCAGAGCAGGUGGUCAGUCCUGUUAGAAUCAGAGCAGGUGGUCAGUCCUGUUAGAAUCAAAGGAGGAGGUCAGUCCUGUUAGAAUCAGAGCAGGUGGUCAGUCCUGUUAGAAUCAGAGCAGGUGGUCAGUCCAGUUAGAAUCAAAGGAGGAGGUCAGUCCUGUUAGAAUCAGAGCAGGUGGUCAGUCCUGUUAGAAUCAAAGGAGGAGGUCAGUCCUGUUAGAAUCAGAGCAGGUGGUCAGUCCUGUUAGAAUCAGAGCAGGUGGUCAGUCCUGUUAGAAUCAAAGGAGGAGGUCAGUCCUGUUAGAAUCAGAGCAGGUGGUCAGUCCUGUUAGAAUCAGAGCAGGUGGUCAGUCCUGUUAGAAUCAAAGGAGGAGGUCAGUCCUGUUAGAAUCAGAGCAGGUGGUCAGUCCUGUUAGAAUCAGAACAGCUGGUCAGUCCUGUUAGAAUCAGAACAGGUGGUCAGUCCUGUUAGAAUCAGAACAGGUGGUCAGUCCUGUUAGAAUCAGAGCAGGUGGUCAGUCCUGUUAGAAUCAGAACAGGUGGUCAGUCCUGUUAGAAUCAGAACAGGUGGUCAGUCCUGUUAGAAUCAAAGGAGGAGGUCAGUCCUGUUAGAAUCAGAGCAGGUGGUCAGUCCUGUUAGAAUCAGAGCAGGUGGUCAGUCCUGUUAGAAUCAGAGCAGGUGGUCAGUCCUGUUAGAAUCAGAGCAGGUGGUCAGUCCUGUUAGAAUCAGAGCAGGUGGUCAGUCCUGUUAGAAUCAGAGCAGAUGGUCAGUCCUGUUAGAAUCAGAGCAGGUGGUCAGUCCUGUUAGAAUCAGAGCAGGUGGUCAGUCCUGUUAGAAUCAGAGCAGGUGGUUAGUCCUGUUAGAAUCAGAACAGGUGGUCAGUCCUGUUAGAAUCAGAGCAGGUGGUCAGUCCUGUUAGAAUCAGAGCAGGUGGUCAGUCCUGUUAGAAUCAGAACAGGUGGUCAGUCCAUUUAUAAUAUAAUAUAAUAUAUGCAUAAGUCCAUUUCAAGUGUUCUGAAAGUUGCAAAAGAAUAAAGACAUUUAAAAUGUCAUAUUAUGUCUAUACAGUGGGGCAAAAAAGUAUUUAGUCAGCCACCGAUUGUGCAAGUUCUCCCACUUAAAAAGAUGAGAGAGGCCUGUCAUUUUCAUCAUAGGUACACUUCAACUAUGACAGACACAAUGAGAAAACAAAAUCCAGAAAAUCACAUUGUAGGAUUUUUUUAUGAAUUUAUUUGCAAAUUAUGUUGGAAAAUAAGUGGUGGCUGACUAAAUACUUAUUUGUAUACAGUGUUUUAACGAUGUGCAAAUAGUUAAAUUACAAAAGGGAAAAUAAAUAAAUAUAAAUAUGGGUUUUAUUUAAAUUGGUGUUUGUUCUUCACUGGUUGACCUUUUCUUGUGGCAACAGGUCACAAAUAUUGCUGCUGUGAUGGCACACUGUGGUAUUACACCCAGUAGAUAUAGGAGUUGGAUUUGUUUUCUAAUUCUUUGUGGAUCUGUGUCAUCUGAGGGAAAUAUGUCUCUCUAAUAUGGUCAUACAUUGGACAGGAGGUUAGGAAGUGCAGCUCAGUUUCCACCUCAUUUUGUGGGCAGUGAGCACAUAGCCUGUCUUCUCUUGUGAGCCAUGUCUGCCUACGGCGGCCUUUCUCAAUAGCAAGGCUAUGCUCACUGAGUCUGUACAUAGUCAAAGCUUUCCUUAAUUUUGGAUCAGUCACAGUGGUCAGGUAUUCUGCCGCUGUGUACUCUCUGUGUAGGGCCAAAUAGCAUUCUAGUUUGCUCUGUUUUUUUGUUAAUUCUUUCCAAUGUGUCAAGUAAUUAUCUUUUUGUUUUCUCAUGAUUUGGGUCUAAUUGUGCUGCUGUCAUGGGGCUCUGUAGGGUGUGUUUGUGUUUGUGAACAGAGCCCCAGAACCAGCUUGCUUAGGGGACUCUUCUCCAGGUUCAACUCUUUAUAGGUGAUGGCUAUGUUAUGGAAGGUUUGGGAAUCGCUUCCUUUUAGGUGGUUGUAGAAUUUAACGUCUCUUUUCUGGAUUGUGAUAGUUAGUGGGUAUCGGCCUAAUUCUGCUCUGCAUUAUUUGGUGUUCUACGUUGUACACGGAGGAUAUUUUAGCAGAAUUCUGCAUGCAGAGUCUCAAGUUGGUGUUUGUCCCAUUUUGUGAAUUCUUGGUUGGUGAGCGGACCCCAGAACUCACAACCAUAAAGGGCAAUGGGCUCUAUGACUGAUUUUAGUAUUUUUAGCCAGAUCCUAAUUGGUAUGUUGAAUUUUAUGUUCCUUUUGAUGGCAUAGAAGGCCCUCCGUUCACAGCUUUGUAGAAGAACACCAUUAUUUAGGUCUUACUGAGAUCUCACCAUCUCUCUCUUUCUCUCUCUCUCUAUCACCAUCUCGCUCUCUCUAUCACCCUCUCUCUUUCCUGUCUGUUGAGUCAAUGUGUCUACCACUCUGCAGUGCUGACCCAGAUCCCUCAGUCCAAGCAGAAGGUCGU